CCUGCCUCCAGAGUCUUGCCGGUGUGGCUGCUGUGUCACAUGUGUGUCAGUAGGUGGCAGAGAGGAGAGAGGUCACACUCGGUGUUCUGACCUGUGAACACCUGAAUGAUUAGAUUCGUAGCCUAACAUU
Grammomys surdaster is the source of this 130-nucleotide small nucleolar RNA. RefSeq annotates it as small nucleolar RNA SNORA17. The transcript has a single exon. Lineage: Eukaryota; Metazoa; Chordata; Mammalia; Rodentia; Muridae. The record is from RefSeq and is a predicted model, not a curated record.